Homo sapiens (human) is the source of this 569-nucleotide long non-coding RNA. Ensembl annotates it as LSP1 pseudogene 5. Its record names the gene LSP1P5. NCBI's taxonomy places the organism in Eukaryota, Metazoa, Chordata, Mammalia, Primates, Hominidae. The record is from Ensembl.
GCAAAGGCACAGCGCGGGCGCAGGCGCCCAGAGGCGCACAGGAGACCUCAGGCCCAGACUCCACUCCCCAGCUGUGAAAGGACUGCUGGCCAGACCCCCAAGCUAGCCCGCCAGGCCUCCAUAGAGCUGCCCAGCAUGGCUGCAUCCAGUACCAAGAGUUGGUGGGAGACGGGUGAGGUAUAGGCUCAGUCUGCGGCCAAGACUCCGUCCUGCAAGACUCUUUGGCAGUUGCACUGGGUACUGGCUGAGUUCUGGAAAACAGGAAUGUGAGCAGAGUGCUGCAGAUCUCCUUGUCAGGAGCACCUAAGAACUGGCAUGACUCUACACCCUCUCUCCUUCUGCAAUGACCUCGUGUCAAGAUGGCAGACCCGCAGAGAUGAAUGUGCCUGGAUACCUGAGUCACCAGGUGGAGGAAACUCCCAUUGACAUGCAUCACACUCCACAUAUGAAACCCUUCUUUUUCUGCACUGUCACUGGGGUUAGGGAUUAUUACUCACUGCAACUUAGCCUAGCAUUAAGUUGCUUGACUAAUACAAGUUUCAAUAAAUGUCGCUUCAUUUCCCAUGGCU